GACGGAGGGUGCUAGCGUUGUUCGGAAUCACUGGGCGUAAAGGGCGCGUAGGCGGCCUUGCAAGUCGGUUGGUGAAAGCCCGGGGCUCAACCCCGGAGGUGCGGCCGAGACUGCAGGGCUGGAGGCCGGAAGAGGAGGGUGGAAUACCCAGUGUAGAGGUGAAAUUCGUAGAUAUUCGCAAGAACACCAGUGGCGAAGGCGGCUCACUGGCCCGGUACUGACGCUGAGGCACGAAAGCGUGGGGAGCAAACAGG
RNAcentral lists this ribosomal RNA (254 nucleotides) under uncultured bacterium. RNAcentral's name for it is "partial 16S ribosomal RNA". It matches the Rfam family "Bacterial small subunit ribosomal RNA", at positions 524 to 776 of the family's 1533-position model. The record is from RNAcentral.